AUUGAACGCUGGCGGCAGGCCUAACACAUGCAAGUCGAGCGGAUGAAGGCUGCUUGCUCCUGGAUUCAGCGGCGGACGGGUGAGUAAUGCCCAGGAAUCUGCCUGGUAGUGGGGGAUAACGUCCGGAAACGGGCGCUAAUACCGCAUACGUCCUGAGGGAGAAAGUGGGGGGUCUUUGGACCUCACGCUAUCAGAUGAGCCUAGGUCGGAUUAGCUAGUUGGUGGGGUAAAGGCCUACCAAGGCGACGAUCCGUAACUGGUCUGAGAGGAUGAUCAGUCACACUGGAACUGAGACACGGUCCAGACUCCUACGGGAGGCAGCAGUGGGGAAUAUUGGGCAAAGGGCGAAAGCCUGAUCCAGCCAUGCCGCGUGUGUGAAGAAGGUCUUCGGAUUGUAAAGCACUUUAAGUUGGGAGGAAGGGCAGUAAGUUAAUACCUUGCUGUUUUGACGGUACCAACAGAAUAAGCAACGGCUAACUUCGUG
RNAcentral lists this ribosomal RNA (484 nucleotides) under uncultured bacterium. RNAcentral's name for it is "partial 16S ribosomal RNA". It matches the Rfam family "Bacterial small subunit ribosomal RNA", at positions 30 to 507 of the family's 1533-position model. The record is from RNAcentral.